RNAcentral lists this ribosomal RNA (1393 nucleotides) under Staphylococcus sp. pca8. Its description in RNAcentral is "bacterial SSU rRNA". It matches the Rfam family "Bacterial small subunit ribosomal RNA", at positions 65 to 1439 of the family's 1533-position model. The record is from RNAcentral. Lineage: Bacteria; Bacillati; Bacillota; Bacilli; Caryophanales; Staphylococcaceae.
AGCGAACAGAUAAGGAGCUUGCUCCUUUGACGUUAGCGGCGGACGGGUGAGUAACACGUGGGUAACCUACCUAUAAGACUGGGAUAACUUCGGGAAACCGGAGCUAAUACCGGAUAACAUUUGGAACCGCAUGGUUCUAAAGUGAAAGAUGGUUUUGCUAUCACUUAUAGAUGGACCCGCGCCGUAUUAGCUAGUUGGUAAGGUAACGGCUUACCAAGGCGACGAUACGUAGCCGACCUGAGAGGGUGAUCGGCCACACUGGAACUGAGACACGGUCCAGACUCCUACGGGAGGCAGCAGUAGGGAAUCUUCCGCAAUGGGCGAAAGCCUGACGGAGCAACGCCGCGUGAGUGAUGAAGGGUUUCGGCUCGUAAAACUCUGUUAUUAGGGAAGAACAAACGUGUAAGUAACUGUGCACGUCUUGACGGUACCUAAUCAGAAAGCCACGGCUAACUACGUGCCAGCAGCCGCGGUAAUACGUAGGUGGCAAGCGUUAUCCGGAAUUAUUGGGCGUAAAGCGCGCGUAGGCGGUUUCUUAAGUCUGAUGUGAAAGCCCACGGCUCAACCGUGGAGGGUCAUUGGAAACUGGGAAACUUGAGUGCAGAAGAGGAAAGUGGAAUUCCAUGUGUAGCGGUGAAAUGCGCAGAGAUAUGGAGGAACACCAGUGGCGAAGGCGACUUUCUGGUCUGUAACUGACGCUGAUGUGCGAAAGCGUGGGGAUCAAACAGGAUUAGAUACCCUGGUAGUCCACGCCGUAAACGAUGAGUGCUAAGUGUUAGGGGGUUUCCGCCCCUUAGUGCUGCAGCUAACGCAUUAAGCACUCCGCCUGGGGAGUACGACCGCAAGGUUGAAACUCAAAGGAAUUGACGGGGACCCGCACAAGCGGUGGAGCAUGUGGUUUAAUUCGAAGCAACGCGAAGAACCUUACCAAAUCUUGACAUCCUUUGAAAACUCUAGAGAUAGAGCCUUCCCCUUCGGGGGACAAAGUGACAGGUGGUGCAUGGUUGUCGUCAGCUCGUGUCGUGAGAUGUUGGGUUAAGUCCCGCAACGAGCGCAACCCUUAAGCUUAGUUGCCAUCAUUAAGUUGGGCACUCUAGGUUGACUGCCGGUGACAAACCGGAGGAAGGUGGGGAUGACGUCAAAUCAUCAUGCCCCUUAUGAUUUGGGCUACACACGUGCUACAAUGGACAAUACAAAGGGCAGCUAAACCGCGAGGUCAUGCAAAUCCCAUAAAGUUGUUCUCAGUUCGGAUUGUAGUCUGCAACUCGACUACAUGAAGCUGGAAUCGCUAGUAAUCGUAGAUCAGCAUGCUACGGUGAAUACGUUCCCGGGUCUUGUACACACCGCCCGUCACACCACGAGAGUUUGUAACACCCGAAGCCGGUGGAGUAAC